CGGACAGGGGGAACCUGACCGCCUGCCGCGUGAGUGAUGAAGGCCUUCGGGUUGUAAAGCUCUUUUGUGUGGGAAGAUAAUGACUGUACCACAAGAAUAAGCCCCGGCUAACUUCGUGCCAGCAGCCGCGGUAAUACGAAGGGGGCUAGCGUUGUUCGGAAUUACUGGGCGUAAAGGGUGCGUAGGUGGUUAUGUAAGUCAGAAGUGAAAGCCCUGGGCUCAACCCGGGAAUUGCUUUUGAAACUAUGUAGCUAGAGUUCGAGAGAGGUAAGUGGAAUAUCCAGUGUAGAGGUAAAAUUCGUAGAUAUUGGAUGGAACACCAGUGGCGAAGGCGGCUUACUGGCUCGAUACUGACACUGAGGCACGAAA
RNAcentral lists this ribosomal RNA (369 nucleotides) under uncultured bacterium. RNAcentral describes it as "bacterial SSU rRNA". It matches the Rfam family "Bacterial small subunit ribosomal RNA", at positions 366 to 758 of the family's 1533-position model. The record is from RNAcentral.